UACAGUUAUCAGUCAAAUUAGUAGAUAAUAAAUUUAUUUUAUGAAUAAAUGAUUCAAUCAUUAAACUCUAAAAAAAAGUUUGGAUGUGUAACCUGAUAUGCCGGAUCCUCGUAAUGCCGGCAUAUGACAGUCCAAUCAUCCAUAGUGAUGCUGUCAUAGGGCUACUGUCGUGCUGCCUCCUUCUUAUAAUCCUGCAUCACAUGGUACCAAUGCUGAUGCAUGUGAUGGCGAUAAUGCUUGAAACACAAUGAUAAAUGAAUGUCCACGGCUCGCCUCACACGAUCCUCCUCAAAAUCAAUGAUAUCAAAUACAUCAUGCCAAUAACAAAUAUUAAAAAAAUACUAUAUAAAUUAAAUAUUCAUAAUAUAAUUUAUUUUACUUAUAAGUGGGUGUAGAAAAUCUCUCUCUGAGCGAUAGAACAUGAUG
This 426-nucleotide long non-coding RNA is filed under the name Elaeis guineensis (African oil palm). RNAcentral's name for it is "long non-coding RNA (EGUI_LNC059106)". The record is from RNAcentral. Lineage: Eukaryota; Viridiplantae; Streptophyta; Magnoliopsida; Arecales; Arecaceae.